This 24-nucleotide non-coding RNA is filed under the name Mus musculus (house mouse). Lineage: Eukaryota; Metazoa; Chordata; Mammalia; Rodentia; Muridae. The record is from RNAcentral.
UGCACACACAGGGAGGCCUCUGUC